UGGGGCGUGGCCAAGUGGUAAGGCAACGGGUUUUGGCCCCGUCAUUCAGAGGUUCGAAUCCUUUCGCCCCAG
This 72-nucleotide transfer RNA is filed under the name Pyramimonas parkeae. RNAcentral describes it as "tRNA-Gln". It matches the Rfam family "tRNA". From Rfam's summary of the family: Transfer RNA (tRNA) molecules are approximately 80 nucleotides in length. Their secondary structure includes four short double-helical elements and three loops (D, anti-codon, and T loops). Lineage: Eukaryota; Viridiplantae; Chlorophyta; Pyramimonadophyceae; Pyramimonadales; Pyramimonadaceae. The record is from RNAcentral.